CUCUGAGACAGGUGCUGCAUGGCUGUCGUCAGCUCGUGUUGUGAAAUGUUGGGUUAAGUCCCGCAACGAGCGCAACCCUUAUCCUUUGUUGCCAGCGCUUAAUGGUGGGAACUCUAGGAAGACUGCCGUUGAUAAACCGGAGAAAGGUGGGGACAACUUCAAGUCUUCAUGGCCCUUACAAUUAGGGUUACACACUUGCUACAUUGGCUAGUACAAAGGGUUGCAAAUCCGCGAGGUGGAGCUAAUCUCACAAAGCUCGUCUUAUUCCGGAUUGAAGUCUGCAACUCGCCUCCUUGAAGUCGGAAUCGCUAGUAAUCUCGAAUCAAAAUGCUCCGGUGAAUACUUUCCC
RNAcentral lists this ribosomal RNA (349 nucleotides) under Shewanella decolorationis. Its description in RNAcentral is "bacterial SSU rRNA". It matches the Rfam family "Bacterial small subunit ribosomal RNA", at positions 1027 to 1375 of the family's 1533-position model. The record is from RNAcentral. Lineage: Bacteria; Pseudomonadati; Pseudomonadota; Gammaproteobacteria; Alteromonadales; Shewanellaceae.